RNAcentral lists this unclassified non-coding RNA (305 nucleotides) under plant metagenome. RNAcentral's name for it is "partial contains 5.8S ribosomal RNA, internal transcribed spacer 2, and large subunit ribosomal RNA". The stretch from base 1 to 105 matches the Rfam family "5.8S ribosomal RNA", at positions 50 to 154 of the family's 154-position model. The record is from RNAcentral.
GAAAUGCGAUAAGUAGUGUGAAUUGCAGAAUUCAGUGAAUCAUCGAAUCUUUGAACGCACAUUGCGCCCUUUGGUAUUCCUUAGGGCAUGCCUGUUCGAGCGUCAUCUAAACCUUCAAGCCCUGCUUGGUGUUGGGUGCCUGUCCCGCCUCCGCGCGCGGACUCACCUCAAAUCCAUUGGCGGCCCCCGCGUCGGCCACGAGCGCAGCAGGAACGCGAACUCGUGAGCCCGUCCGGGCGGCUCCCAGAAGCUACACCCACCCAGUUUGACCUCGGAUCAGGUAGGGAUACCCGCUGAACUUAAGC